CCUACGGGGUGCAGCAGUGAGGAAUAUUGGUCAAUGGACGAGAGUCUGAACCUGCCAAGUAGCGUGAAGGAUGACUGCCCUAUGGGUUGUAAACUUCUUUUAUAAAGGAAUAAAACGAGGCACGUGUGCCUUUUUGCAUGUACUUUAUGAAUAAGGAUCGGCUAACUCCGUGCCAGCAGCCGCGGUAAUACGGAGGAUCCGAGCGUUAUCCGGAUUUAUUGGGUUUAAAGGGAGCGUAGAUGGGUUGUUAAGUCAGUUGUGAAAGUUUGCGGCUCAACCGUAAAAUUGCAAUUGAUACUGGCAGUCGUGAGUACAGUUGAGGUAGGCGGAAUUCGUGGUGUAGCGGUGAAAUGCUUAGAUAUCACGAAGAACCCCGAUUGCGAAGGCAGCUUACUAAACUGUGACUGACAUUGAUGCUCGAAAGUGUGGGUAUCAAACAGGAUUAGAUACCCUUGUAGUC
Molecule: ribosomal RNA, 460 nt
Filed under: uncultured bacterium
Lineage: Bacteria
Description: partial 16S ribosomal RNA
Rfam family: Bacterial small subunit ribosomal RNA
Source: RNAcentral